Molecule: long non-coding RNA, 480 nt
Organism: Hyla sarda
Lineage: Eukaryota; Metazoa; Chordata; Amphibia; Anura; Hylidae
Exons: 3
Source: RefSeq, a predicted model, not a curated record
CUGGUCUUGUAAGCUGCUGGAGAGAAGAAGAUUCCACCAAGUACAAUUAGCAGCGAUGCAGACAUGAAGGAGAAGGCGCCCGCUGCCUCCCCUGCCUAAUCCCAGACGCCGUACAUUCCCAGUAGAAGGAAAAAAACAAUACAAGAUCACGAAUGUACAGGAACAUCAUGCAUAGAAUCUAUAGGAUCAGACUGUAUAAGUACCGGGGAGACCGCGAAGACUUUCAUUCGGAAAGAAAGCGAAUCAUUACCAUUGUACACAGGGGUCACCCGCUCAUUGUGGAGCAUUGUCAAGGUGAAGUUUAGUUUUUCUACUCUUCAAAAUUAAAAGAAAAAGACGGUUUUGUGUUUUAAUAAGCCGGGUUAAGGGAAAUAUGAAAGACGUUUGCAAUGUAUUCCUUUAGUCUAGGGGUCCUCGGAGGAUGGCGAUAGCAUCAAGACGGGGGAAUUGCCGGAAAUUGUUAUUUUUUUUUUUUUUUUC